Molecule: ribosomal RNA, 406 nt
Filed under: uncultured bacterium
Lineage: Bacteria
Description: partial 16S ribosomal RNA
Rfam family: Bacterial small subunit ribosomal RNA
Source: RNAcentral
AUUGAACGCUGGCGGCAGGCCUAACACAUGCAAGUCGAGCGAGCGGCGGACGGGUGAGUAAUGUCUGGGAAACUGCCUGAUGGAGGGGGGUAACUCCUGGAAACGGUAGCUCAUACCGCAUACCCUCAGAUGUGCCCAGAUGUGAUUAGCUAGUAGGUGGGGUAACGGCUCACCUAGGCGACGAUCCCUAGCUGGUCUGAGAGGAUGACCAGCCACACUGGAACUGAGACACGGCCCAGACUCCUACGGGAGGCAGCAGUGGGGAAUAUUGCACAAUGGGCGCAAGCCUGAUACAGCCAUGCCGCGUGUAUGAAGAAGGCCUUCGGGUUGUAAAGUACUUUCAGCGGGGAGGCGUUACCCGCAGAAGAAGCACCGGCUAACUCCGUGCCAGCAGCCGCGGUAAUUC